This 253-nucleotide ribosomal RNA is filed under the name uncultured bacterium. RNAcentral's name for it is "partial 16S ribosomal RNA". It matches the Rfam family "Bacterial small subunit ribosomal RNA", at positions 524 to 776 of the family's 1533-position model. The record is from RNAcentral.
UACGGGGGGGGCAAGCGUUGUUCGGAAUUACUGGGCGUAAAGGGCUCGUAGGCGGCCAACUAAGUCGGAUGUGAAAUCCCCAGGCUUAACCUGGGAACUGCAUCCGAUACUGGAUGGCUUGAAUUCGGGAGAGGGAUGCAGAAUUCCAGGUGUAGCGGUGAAAUGCGCAGAUAUCAGGAGGAACACCGGUGGCGAAGGCGGGUCUCUGGGCCGAAACUGACGCUGAGGAGCGAAAGCGUGGGGAGCAAACAGG